This 443-nucleotide ribosomal RNA is filed under the name uncultured bacterium. Its description in RNAcentral is "partial 16S ribosomal RNA". It matches the Rfam family "Bacterial small subunit ribosomal RNA", at positions 338 to 795 of the family's 1533-position model. The record is from RNAcentral.
CCUACGGGUGGCAGCAGUGGGGAAUAUUGGACAAUGGGGGGAACCCUGAUCCAGCGACGCCGCGUGAGUGAAGAAGUAUUUCGGUAUGUAAAGCUCUAUCAGCAGGGAAGAAAGAAAUGACGGUACCUGACUAAGAAGCCCCGGCUAACUACGUGCCAGCAGCCGCGGUAAUACGUAGGGGGCAAGCGUUAUCCGGAUUUACUGGGUGUAAAGGGGGCGUAGACGGCGAUGCAAGUCUGAAGUGAAAGGCGGGGGCCCAACCUCCGGACUGCUUUGGAAACUGUAUGGCUGGAGUGAAGGAGAGGUAAGUGGAAUUCCUAGUGUAGCGGUGAAAUGCGUAGAUAUUAGGAGGAACACCAGUGGCGAAGGCGGCUUACUGGACUGUAACUGACGUUGAGGCUCGAAAGCGUGGGGAGCAAACAGGAUUAGAUACCCCGGUAGUC